This 106-nucleotide ribosomal RNA is filed under the name Pteropus alecto (black flying fox). Lineage: Eukaryota; Metazoa; Chordata; Mammalia; Chiroptera; Pteropodidae. The record is from RNAcentral.
GUCUGCAGCCAUGCUACCCUGAACAAGCCUGAUCUCGCCUGAUCUUGGAAGCUAAGCAGGGUCGGGCCUGGUUAGUAUUUGGAUGGGAGACCAGGUGCUGUAGGUA